AUACUUACCUGGCAGGGGAAAUACCAUGAUCAUGGAGGUGGUUUUCCCAGGGUGAGGCUUAUCCAUUGCACUCCAGAUGUGCUGACCCCUGCGAUUUUCCCAAAUGUGGGAAACUAGGCUGCAUCAUUUCUGGUAGUGGGGGACUGCGUUCGUGCUUUCCUCUG
Manis javanica (Malayan pangolin) is the source of this 164-nucleotide small nuclear RNA. RefSeq annotates it as U1 spliceosomal RNA. The record is from RefSeq and is a predicted model, not a curated record. Lineage: Eukaryota; Metazoa; Chordata; Mammalia; Pholidota; Manidae.